This 405-nucleotide ribosomal RNA is filed under the name uncultured bacterium. Its description in RNAcentral is "bacterial SSU rRNA". It matches the Rfam family "Bacterial small subunit ribosomal RNA", at positions 355 to 776 of the family's 1533-position model. The record is from RNAcentral.
UAAGGGAUAUUGGACAAUGGGCGCAAGCCUGAUCCAGCAACGCCGCGUGCAGGAUGACAGCCUUCGGGUUGUAAACUGCUUUUCUGCCGGACGAGCGAGGACGGUACGGCAGGAAUCAGCCACGGCUAACUACGUGCCAGCAGCCGCGGUAAUACGUAGGUGGCGAGCGUUAUCCGGAUUUACUGGGCGUAAAGCGUGUGCAGACGGGUGGACAAGUGGUGUAUGAAAUCGCGGUGCUUAACGGCGCGAGGUUAUGCCAGACUGUUCAGCUAGAGCGUGGGAGAGGGACGUGGAAUUCCGGGUGUAGUGGUGAAAUGCGUAGAGAUCCGGAGGAACCCCAGAGGCGAAGGCGAUGUCCUGGCCCACGACUGACGUUCAGACACGACAGCAUGGGGAGCGAACGGG